UACGAAGGGGGCUAGCGUUGCUCGGAAUCACUGGGCGUAAAGCGCACGUAGGCGGAUUCCUAAGUCGGUGGUGAAAUCCUGGAGCUCAACUCCAGAACUGCCUCCGAUACUGAGAGUCUUCGAGUCCGGGAGAGGUGAGUGGAACUGCGAGUGUAGAGGUGAAAUUCGUAGAUAUUCGCAAGAACACCAGUGGCGAAGGCGGCGCACUGGCCCGGUACUGACGCUGAGGUGCGAAAGCGUGGGGAGCAAACAGG
RNAcentral lists this ribosomal RNA (254 nucleotides) under uncultured bacterium. RNAcentral's name for it is "partial 16S ribosomal RNA". It matches the Rfam family "Bacterial small subunit ribosomal RNA", at positions 524 to 776 of the family's 1533-position model. The record is from RNAcentral.